Molecule: ribosomal RNA, 253 nt
Filed under: uncultured bacterium
Lineage: Bacteria
Description: partial 16S ribosomal RNA
Rfam family: Bacterial small subunit ribosomal RNA
Source: RNAcentral
UACAGGGGGUGCAAACGUUGCUCGGAAUCAUUGGGCGUAAAGCGCGUGUAGGCGGCUUUGCAAGUCGGGUGUGAAAGCCCUCAGCUCAACUGAGGAAGUGCGCCCGAAACUGCAGAGCUUGAGUGCCGGAGAGGGUGGCGGAAUUCCCCAAGUAGAGGUGAAAUUCGUAGAUAUGGGGAGGAACACCGGUGGCGAAGGCGGCCACCUGGACGGUAACUGACGCUGAGACGCGAAAGCGUGGGGAGCAAACAGG